GGUUAAGCGACUAAGCGUACACGGUGGAUGCCCUGGCAGUCAGAGGCGAUGAAGGACGUGCUAAUCUGCGAUAAGCGUCGGUAAGGUGAUAUGAACCGUUAUAACCGGCGAUUUCCGAAUGGGGAAACCCAGUGUGUUUCGACACACUAUCAUUAACUGAAUCCAUAGGUUAAUGAGGCGAACCGGGGGAACUGAAACAUCUAAGUACCCCGAGGAAAAGAAAUCAACCGAGAUUCCCCCAGUAGCGGCGAGCGAACGGGGAGCAGCCCAGAGCCUGAAUCAGUGUGUGUGUUAGUGGAAGCGUCUGGAAAGGCGCGCGAUACAGGGUGACAGCCCCGUACACAAAAAUGCACAUACUGUGAGCUCGAUGAGUAGGGCGGGACACGUGGUAUCCUGUCUGAAUAUGGGGGGACCAUCCUCCAAGGCUAAAUACUCCUGACUGACCGAUAGUGAACCAGUACCGUGAGGGAAAGGCGAAAAGAACCCCGGCGAGGGGAGUGAAAAAGAACCUGAAACCGUGUACGUACAAGCAGUGGGAGCCUCUUUAUGGGGUGACUGCGUACCUUUUGUAUAAUGGGUCAGCGACUUAUAUUCUGUAGCAAGGUUAACCGAAUAGGGGAGCCGAAGGGAAACCGAGUCUUAACUGGGCGUUAAGUUGCAGGGUAUAGACCCGAAACCCGGUGAUCUAGCCAUGGGCAGGUUGAAGGUUGGGUAACACUAACUGGAGGACCGAACCGACUAAUGUUGAAAAAUUAGCGGAUGACUUGUGGCUGGGGGUGAAAGGCCAAUCAAACCGGGAGAUAGCUGGUUCUCCCCGAAAGCUAUUUAGGUAGCGCCUCGUGAAUUCAUCUCCGGGGGUAGAGCACUGUUUCGGCAAGGGGGUCAUCCCGACUUACCAACCCGAUGCAAACUGCGAAUACCGGAGAAUGUUAUCACGGGAGACACACGGCGGGUGCUAACGUCCGUCGUGAAGAGGGAAACAACCCAGACCGCCAGCUAAGGUCCCAAAGUCAUGGUUAAGUGGGAAACGAUGUGGGAAGGCCCAGACAGCCAGGAUGUUGGCUUAGAAGCAGCCAUCAUUUAAAGAAAGCGUAAUAGCUCACUGGUCGAGUCGGCCUGCGCGGAAGAUGUAACGGGGCUAAACCAUGCACCGAAGCUGCGACAGCGACACUAUGUGUUGUUGGGUAGGGGAGCGUUCUGUAAGCCUGCGAAGGUGUACUGUGAGGUAUGCUGGAGGUAUCAGAAGUGCGAAUGCUGACAUAAGUAACGAUAAAGCGGGUGAAAAGCCCGCUCGCCGGAAGACCAAGGGUUCCUGUCCAACGUUAAUCGGGGCAGGGUGAGUCGACCCCUAAGGCGAGGCCGAAAGGCGUAGUCGAUGGGAAACAGGUUAAUAUUCCUGUACUUGGUGUUACUGCGAAGGGGGGACGGAGAAGGCUAUGUUGGCCGGGCGACGGUUGUCCCGGUUUAAGCGUGUAGGCUGGUUUUCCAGGCAAAUCCGGAAAAUCAAGGCUGAGGCGUGAUGACGAGGCACUACGGUGCUGAAGCAACAAAUGCCCUGCUUCCAGGAAAAGCCUCUAAGCAUCAGGUAACAUCAAAUCGUACCCCAAACCGACACAGGUGGUCAGGUAGAGAAUACCAAGGCGCUUGAGAGAACUCGGGUGAAGGAACUAGGCAAAAUGGUGCCGUAACUUCGGGAGAAGGCACGCUGAUAUGUAGGUGAAGUCCCUCGCGGAUGGAGCUGAAAUCAGUCGAAGAUACCAGCUGGCUGCAACUGUUUAUUAAAAACACAGCACUGUGCAAACACGAAAGUGGACGUAUACGGUGUGACGCCUGCCCGGUGCCGGAAGGUUAAUUGAUGGGGUUAGCGGUAACGCGAAGCUCUUGAUCGAAGCCCCGGUAAACGGCGGCCGUAACUAUAACGGUCCUAAGGUAGCGAAAUUCCUUGUCGGGUAAGUUCCGACCUGCACGAAUGGCGUAAUGAUGGCCAGGCUGUCUCCACCCGAGACUCAGUGAAAUUGAACUCGCUGUGAAGAUGCAGUGUACCCGCGGCAAGACGGAAAGACCCCGUGAACCUUUACUAUAGCUUGACACUGAACAUUGAGCCUUGAUGUGUAGGAUAGGUGGGAGGCUUUGAAGUGUGGACGCCAGUCUGCAUGGAGCCGACCUUGAAAUACCACCCUUUAAUGUUUGAUGUUCUAACGUUGGCCCCUGAUCGGGGUUGCGGACAGUGUCUGGUGGGUAGUUUGACUGGGGCGGUCUCCUCCUAAAGAGUAACGGAGGAGCACGAAGGUUGGCUAAUCCUGGUCGGACAUCAGGAGGUUAGUGCAAUGGCAUAAGCCAGCUUGACUGCGAGCGUGACGGCGCGAGCAGGUGCGAAAGCAGGUCAUAGUGAUCCGGUGGUUCUGAAUGGAAGGGCCAUCGCUCAACGGAUAAAAGGUACUCCGGGGAUAACAGGCUGAUACCGCCCAAGAGUUCAUAUCGACGGCGGUGUUUGGCACCUCGAUGUCGGCUCAUCACAUCCUGGGGCUGAAGUAGGUCCCAAGGGUAUGGCUGUUCGCCAUUUAAAGUGGUACGCGAGCUGGGUUUAGAACGUCGUGAGACAGUUCGGUCCCUAUCUGCCGUGGGCGCUGGAGAACUGAGGGGGGCUGCUCCUAGUACGAGAGGACCGGAGUGGACGCAUCACUGGUGUUCGGGUUGUCAUGCCAAUGGCACUGCCCGGUAGCUAAAUGCGGAAGAGAUAAGUGCUGAAAGCAUCUAAGCACGAAACUUGCCCCGAGAUGAGUUCUCCCUGACUCCUUGAGAGUCCUGAAGGAACGUUGAAGACGACGACGUUGAUAGGCCGGGUGUGUAAGCGCAGCGAUGCGUUGAGCUAACCGGUACUAAUGAACCGUGAGGCUUAACCUU
Molecule: ribosomal RNA, 2904 nt
Filed under: Escherichia coli
Lineage: Bacteria; Pseudomonadati; Pseudomonadota; Gammaproteobacteria; Enterobacterales; Enterobacteriaceae
Description: 23S ribosomal RNA
Rfam family: Bacterial large subunit ribosomal RNA
Source: RNAcentral